This is a long non-coding RNA of Amblyraja radiata (thorny skate), 257 nucleotides long. RefSeq lists it as uncharacterized. The record is from RefSeq and is a predicted model, not a curated record. NCBI's taxonomy places the organism in Eukaryota, Metazoa, Chordata, Chondrichthyes, Rajiformes, Rajidae. The transcript is spliced from 3 exons.
GCUGGAGUAACCCAGCGGGACAGGCAGUAUCUCUGGAGAGAAGGAAUGGGUGGCGUUUCCGGUCGAGACCCUUCUUCAGACUGAUGUCAGGGGAGUGGGCGGGACAGAGAUAGAAAGCAGUCAUAGACAGUAAGACCAGUGGGAGAACUGCGAUGGGGGAGGGGAUGGAGAGAGAGAGAGAGAGAGAAAAAGCAAGGGUUAUUUGAAGUUAGAGAAGUCAAUGUUCAUACCGCUGGGGUACAAGUUCGUUCCAGGUG